GGAGUUCAAAUGGCACGCGAGUCAUUGGGUUUUAGUACCCGAAGGCGAAGUGAAAUGCAAACGUAUUGUUAUUUGUGGUUGUUCCAUGAUGAAGCGAUAAGCUACUCAUGCUGUCUGGCAUUUGUAGACUACAAGCGUGAUGUUUGAGACCCGAAAGAUGGUGACCUAUGCCUAGUCAAGAUGAAGCCAGAGGAAACUCUGGUGGAUGUCUGAAGUUAUUCUGACGUGCAAAUCGAUAAUCUGAUCUGGGUAUAGGGGCGAAAGACUAAUCGAACCAUCUAGUAGCUGGUUCCUUCCGAAGUUUCCCUCAGGAUAGCAAGCGUACAUUUUUAGUUUCAUCCCGUAAAGCGAAUGAUUAGAGGCCUUGGGGCGUAUAUAGCCUCAACCUAUUCUCAAACUUUUAAUGGGUGUGAGUGUUUUUUCUCAAUUGAAAAACGCUGCUAAAUAAGUAUGCUUAGUGGGCCAUUUUUGGUAAGCAGAACUGGCGCUGUGGGUUGAACCAAUUGUUGAGUUAAAGUGCCUAAAGCUGGAAUGCGCAUGAGAUCUAUAAAGGGUGUUAGUUGCUGAAGACAGCAGGACGGUGGCCAUGGAAGUCGGAAUCCGCUA
Molecule: ribosomal RNA, 606 nt
Filed under: Ophionyssus natricis
Lineage: Eukaryota; Metazoa; Arthropoda; Arachnida; Mesostigmata; Macronyssidae
Description: partial large subunit ribosomal RNA
Rfam family: Eukaryotic large subunit ribosomal RNA
Source: RNAcentral